This 497-nucleotide ribosomal RNA is filed under the name uncultured bacterium. Its description in RNAcentral is "partial 16S ribosomal RNA". It matches the Rfam family "Bacterial small subunit ribosomal RNA", at positions 28 to 507 of the family's 1533-position model. The record is from RNAcentral.
GAUGAACGCUGGCGGCGUGCCUAAUACAUGCAAGUCGAGCGAACAGACGAGGAACUUGCUCCUCUGACGUUAGCGGCGGACGGGUGAGUAACACGUGGAUAACCUACCUAUAAGACUGGGAUAACUUCGGGAAACCGGAGCUAAUACCGGAUAAUCUAUUGAACCGCAUGGUUCAAUAGUGAAAGACGGUUUUGCUGUCACUUAUAGAUGGAUCCGCGCCGCAUUAGCUAGUUGGUAAGGUAACGGCUUACCAAGGCAACGAUGCGUAGCCGACCUGAGAGGGUGAUCAGCCACACUGGAACUGAGACACGGUCCAGACUCCUACGGGAGGCAGCAGUAGGGAAUCUUCCGCAAUGGGCGAAAGCUUGACGGAGCAACGCCGCGUGAGUGAUGAAGGUCUUCGGAUCGUAAAACUCUGUUAUUAGGGAAGAACAAAUGUGUAAGUAACUAUGCACGUCUUGACGGUACCUAAUCAGAAAGCCACGGCUAACUACGUG